AUUAUUGAAAGGUGCUUGCAUCUUGAUUUAAUUUUGAACGAGUGGCGGACGGGUGAGUAACACGUGGGUAACCUGCCCUUAAGUGGGGGAUAACAUUUGGAAACAGAUGCUAAUACCGCAUAAAUCCAAGAACCGCAUGGUUCUGGGCUAAAAGAGGGCCUAAGCUAUCGCUUUGGGAGGGACCCGCGGCGUAUUAGCUAGUGGGUGAGGUAACGGCUCACCAAGGCAAUGAUAGUGUACCCGAACUGAGAGGUUGAUCGGCCACAUUGGGACUGAGACACGGCCCAAACUCCUACGGGAGGCAGCAGUAGGGAAUCUUCCACAAUGGACGCAAGUCUGAUGGAGCAACGCCGCGUGAGUGAAGAAGGCUUUCGGGUCGUAAAACUCUGUUGUUGGAGAAGAAUGGUCGGCAGAGUAACUG
Molecule: ribosomal RNA, 421 nt
Filed under: Lacticaseibacillus rhamnosus
Lineage: Bacteria; Bacillati; Bacillota; Bacilli; Lactobacillales; Lactobacillaceae
Description: bacterial SSU rRNA
Rfam family: Bacterial small subunit ribosomal RNA
Source: RNAcentral